RNAcentral lists this transfer RNA (74 nucleotides) under Actinorugispora endophytica. It matches the Rfam family "tRNA". From Rfam's summary of the family: Transfer RNA (tRNA) molecules are approximately 80 nucleotides in length. Their secondary structure includes four short double-helical elements and three loops (D, anti-codon, and T loops). The record is from Rfam by way of RNAcentral. Lineage: Bacteria; Bacillati; Actinomycetota; Actinomycetes; Streptosporangiales; Nocardiopsidaceae.
GGGGCCGUAGCCCAGCAGGUAGAGGCACACGACUUAGGAUCGUGCCAGUGCGGGUUCGAAUCCCGUCGGCCCUA